AGAGUUUGGAUCCUGGCUCAGAUUGAACGCUGGCGGCAGGCUUAACACAUGCAAGUCGAGCGGAGAGAGGUAGCUUGCUACUGAUCUUAGCGGCGGACGGGUGAGUAAUGCUUAGGAAUCUGCCUAUUAGUGGGGGACAACACCUCGAAAGGGAUGCUAAUACCGCAUACGUCCUACGGGAGAAAGCAGGGGAUCUUCGGACCUUGCGCUAAUAGAUGAGCCUAAGUCGGAUUAGCUAGUUGGUGGGGUAAAGGCCUACCAAGGCGACGAUCUGUAGCGGGUCUGAGAGGAUGAUCCGCCACACUGGGACUGAGACACGGCCCAGACUCCUACGGGAGGCAGCAGUGGGGAAUAUUGGACAAUGGGGGGAACCCUGAUCCAGCCAUGCCGCGUGUGUGAAGAAGGCCUUAUGGUUGUAAAGCACUUUAAGCGAGGAGGAGGCUACUUUAGUUAAUACCUAGAGAUAGUGGACGUUACUCGCAGAAUAAGCACCGGCUAACUCUGUGCCAGCAGCCGCGGUAAUACAGAGGGUGCAAGCGUUAAUCGGAUUUACUGGGCGUAAAGCGCGCGUAGGCGGCUAAUUAAGUCAAAUGUGAAAUCCCCGAGCUUAACUUGGGAAUUGCAUUCGAUACUGGUUAGCUAGAGUGUGGGAGAGGAUGGUAGAAUUCCAGGUGUAGCGGUGAAAUGCGUAGAGAUCUGGAGGAAUACCGAUGGCGAAGGCAGCCAUCUGGCCUAACACUGACGCUGAGGUGCGAAAGCAUGGGGAGCAAACAGGAUUAGAUACCCUGGUAGUCCAUGCCGUAAACGAUGUCUACUAGCCGUUGGGGCCUUUGAGGCUUUAGUGGCGCAGCUAACGCGAUAAGUAGACCGCCUGGGGAGUACGGUCGCAAGACUAAAACUCAAAUGAAUUGACGGGGGCCCGCACAAGCGGUGGAGCAUGUGGUUUAAUUCGAUGCAACGCGAAGAACCUUACCUGGCCUUGACAUAGUAAGAACUUUCCAGAGAUGGAUUGGUGCCUUCGGGAACUUACAUACAGGUGCUGCAUGGCUGUCGUCAGCUCGUGUCGUGAGAUGUUGGGUUAAGUCCCGCAACGAGCGCAACCCUUUUCCUUAUUUGCCAGCGAGUAAUGUCGGGAACUUUAAGGAUACUGCCAGUGACAAACUGGAGGAAGGCGGGGACGACGUCAAGUCAUCAUGGCCCUUACGGCCAGGGCUACACACGUGCUACAAUGGUCGGUACAAAGGGUUGCUACACAGCGAUGUGAUGCUAAUCUCAAAAAGCCGAUCGUAGUCCGGAUUGGAGUCUGCAACUCGACUCCAUGAAGUCGGAAUCGCUAGUAAUCGCGGAUCAGAAUGCCGCGGUGAAUACGUUCCCGGGCCUUGUACACACCGCCCGUCACACCAUGGGAGUUUGUUGCACCAGAAGUAGCUAGCCUAACUGCAAAGAGGGCGGUUACCACGGUGUGGCCGAUGACUGGGGUGAAGUCGUAACAAGGUAACC
Molecule: ribosomal RNA, 1500 nt
Filed under: uncultured bacterium
Lineage: Bacteria
Description: bacterial SSU rRNA
Rfam family: Bacterial small subunit ribosomal RNA
Source: RNAcentral